Molecule: ribosomal RNA, 480 nt
Filed under: Limosilactobacillus fermentum
Lineage: Bacteria; Bacillati; Bacillota; Bacilli; Lactobacillales; Lactobacillaceae
Description: bacterial SSU rRNA
Rfam family: Bacterial small subunit ribosomal RNA
Source: RNAcentral
GAGCAUGUGGUUUAAUUCGAAGCUACGCGAAGAACCUUACCAGGUCUUGACAUCUUGCGCCAACCCUAGAGAUAGGGCGUUUCCUUCGGGAACGCAAUGACAGGUGGUGCAUGGUCGUCGUCAGCUCGUGUCGUGAGAUGUUGGGUUAAGUCCCGCAACGAGCGCAACCCUUGUUACUAGUUGCCAGCAUUAAGUUGGGCACUCUAGUGAGACUGCCGGUGACAAACCGGAGGAAGGUGGGGACGACGUCAGAUCAUCAUGCCCCUUAUGACCUGGGCUACACACGUGCUACAAUGGACGGUACAACGAGUCGCGAACUCGCGAGGGCAAGCAAAUCUCUUAAAACCGUUCUCAGUUCGGACUGCAGGCUGCAACUCGCCUGCACGAAGUCGGAAUCGCUAGUAAUCGCGGAUCAGCAUGCCGCGGUGAAUACGUUCCCGGGCCUUGUACACACCGCCCGUCACACCAUGAGAGUUUGUA